This 88-nucleotide transfer RNA is filed under the name Pseudomonadota bacterium. RNAcentral's name for it is "tRNA-Ser". It matches the Rfam family "tRNA". From Rfam's summary of the family: Transfer RNA (tRNA) molecules are approximately 80 nucleotides in length. Their secondary structure includes four short double-helical elements and three loops (D, anti-codon, and T loops). Lineage: Bacteria; Pseudomonadati; Pseudomonadota. RNAcentral also lists the same sequence under 1 other name. The record is from RNAcentral.
GGAGAGGUGCCGGAGUGGUUGAACGGGGCGGUCUCGAAAACCGUUGUGGGACUUGUGCCCACCGUGGGUUCGAAUCCCACCCUCUCCG